RNAcentral lists this transfer RNA (65 nucleotides) under Dipodomys ordii (Ord's kangaroo rat). It matches the Rfam family "tRNA". From Rfam's summary of the family: Transfer RNA (tRNA) molecules are approximately 80 nucleotides in length. Their secondary structure includes four short double-helical elements and three loops (D, anti-codon, and T loops). Further hydrogen bonds mediate the characteristic L-shaped molecular structure. tRNAs have two regions of fundamental functional importance: the anti-codon, which is responsible for specific mRNA codon recognition, and the 3' end, to which the tRNAs corresponding amino acid is attached (by aminoacyl-tRNA synthetases). tRNAs cope with the degeneracy of the genetic code in two manners: having more than one tRNA (with a specific anti-codon) for a particular amino acid; and 'wobble' base-pairing, i.e. permitting non-standard base-pairing at the 3rd anti-codon position. Lineage: Eukaryota; Metazoa; Chordata; Mammalia; Rodentia; Heteromyidae. The record is from Rfam by way of RNAcentral.
GGUGGCUCAGUGGUAGAGUACUUGCCUUGCAUGCAUGAGGACCUGGGUUCGAUUCCUCAGAACCA